RNAcentral lists this transfer RNA (67 nucleotides) under Marmota monax (woodchuck). RNAcentral's name for it is "tRNA.Ile". The record is from RNAcentral. Lineage: Eukaryota; Metazoa; Chordata; Mammalia; Rodentia; Sciuridae.
GAAUUUAGCUCAGUGGUAGAGCACCUGCCUAAUAUGCAUGAGGACCUGGCUUCAAUCCUCAAAACCA